RNAcentral lists this unclassified non-coding RNA (5515 nucleotides) under Hevea brasiliensis (rubber tree). Lineage: Eukaryota; Viridiplantae; Streptophyta; Magnoliopsida; Malpighiales; Euphorbiaceae. The record is from RNAcentral.
GAACUUUCAGAAUGUAAGGUAUUUUAUUCUUUCCUGACUACAAAAUUUCAUGAGCUUUAAAAAGGUUGUGUAGCUUGCAAAGUGAACAAUUCGUCGGGAAUUAUUUGCCUGUGAAACUGCAACUAAUACAAUAUUUGAGAUGAGCUUUUGCUUUUAUUUGUUCAUGACAAUAAACUUUAAAAACUAUUCCUAAGAUGGACAAAACUACCAUCGGCACAAAGUAACAUUCAUGAUCAUUUUUCUUACAAGAUAUAAGUCACUCAACAGACUGGGAAAAAUCAGAUGGUGUGCUGCAAGCAGCAGUUGAAGCUGGUUCUUUGUACCACUGAUUUGCUUCACGAGUUAAGAAAUUAGCUUCUGCAAUUAGACAAUUUCAAGGCCAGCUUAGAACAAAGGCAACGAAUACAAAUAAGAGGAAUAAAGGAAAUGAAUGCCAGUUAUCUCAUUUUAUUAACCAUACAAUUUUAUUCUGCAUAGUGAAAUUAAUUUCGGAACUCUAUAUUAGGAGUUCCAUUAGGCCAUAACUCACCCUAAAAGUGUUUAAUUCAUUAUUUUAUUUUUAUUUCUGUAGUUCUCUUUCAUAUUAUUAUUUUUACACUUACAUGGACAAGGAUGCAAGACUUUUGUUAUCUGUAUCCACACAAAAUAAGUGGUAUCUUGUAUUUUCAUUUCCUCCCUUUAAUUAUUUGAUUGAUGAAUAAAUUCCUCCAUGAUUAUAGGUCACCACAGUCUAUUGCAGGAAUUAGCCUUUAGUUAAUUAGAGCUUGGUGCAUCAUGUCACAGAAGCUAUCAUAAUAAUACAAAACUCAACUAAGCAAAGCAUAUUUGAGUGACUGCAUCAUGCCAAAUACUAAAUAGCCUCACAUCAUAUACAUACCGGUGGUUACAUUACUCAAUUGUUUGAUGAGAGUAGUUCUAAACAAGGUGAUGCACUGAUGGAAAACUCAAUUUAAGAAUGAUUUUGAUUUAAUUUUAACAGCAUAUUUAAAAUCUUCAGUUCAGAUUUUCCAGUACAAUUAGGAAGGUCAGGAAUUCUAUUAUUAUUUAUGAAUAUUUAAAGAGUUCUAUUAGAUUUAGUAUUUUUCUACUUAAUGUUGGUUUUAUAUUCCUCGUCAGAUUAGAUUAGUAUUUUCUUAUUUUUGAAUUCUAAAUCCUAGUAGUAGCAGAAUUAAUAUUAUACUAAAAAUACAUAUAUCAUCCAGGUAUUUUAUUAGACACUAUUAUUAUUGAUAUUGACAACUGAGAAUUAACAGAAUUUGAGUUUUUUAUUUCCACGUGGUUCUACAUCACAAGGUGACUACUUCACAUGCAUUAGUAAUUUGCUUGAGGCUUCAGAAAUAAUAGUGAGACAAUCAAAUAGUAAGAUAGGGAUAAUUAGUCAGACAUACCUGACAAGAAAACAUCCUUAUAGUCAUCAUCAUCAUAUAUAAAUUGUGGAGGAUCUGGCGAACCAAUCCCAACAAUGGUACUUCCGCUGUAUCAAAUAAAUCGGUAAAAAAGAUAGUGGCAAAUGAUUAACCUAUAUAGAAGCUUCAAUCAUCCUAAUAAAAGUUGCAAAAUUAUUGACAUGGCUCGUUUGGCUUAUGAGCACAUUCAAAUGAUCUUACAAUGCUACACCUCAGAAACAGGCUUAUUAUGUACUGCUUAUAAAGAUCGCUGAACUAAUGAAAUUUUCAGAUCUUUAUUUUCUAGUGUUCCAUAACCUAUUUUCCUCGUGGAUUUAAGAUUGUUACAGCUUAAACAUGAUUUAACCUUGCCAUGCUACUUUUCCACAUAAAAACCGAAGUCUUAAAUAUGAUGUGAAUGUGGCACAUGCUUAAGCCAUCAACAUCAUUAGUUAAUGCAUUCAUGACCAUAUUUGACAUGGAAAGCUUCAUGUAAUCUGCAUACAAGUAUUUUAUAGAGGAUAAAUGGAAAAUAAAGGAGACACGGUUAAUGAAUUGUAGAUAACUAUGUUCGAAAGUCAGACACAGGCUUAAUGUGGCUGAACAAGAAUGCAGAAAUCAUAAUAUAAGCUGCCGGCAUUUUCAGACAACAAUCAAGUGGGGUGUUGGGUUUGGAAAUCAAUUAAGGUCAAUCCUGUUCCGAAUUGUUAAGAAAUUCAGCAAGGAUACAAGAGAAGUGCAUAAAGAAAGCCAAUAAAAACAAGGAGAAUAAGAGGAGUGCAAGAUGAAAUAGAGGGAGGGAGCACAAGAAAGUUCACACUAAGCAAACAUCCUUUCAGAGAUUAAUAAGAUGAUUAUUUUAAAAAUGCUCAAUUCUUUUCUAGUCCUAUUACAAUGAGAUAUUCCAAACAAGCCAUUGCUACUUUCAGGAAGAGACGUAUAUAUGGCUUCUGCUAACUGACUUGAGAAACAGUUCCUGAAAUUGUGAUAGCACUAGAAAGGGGAGUCAUAUCAACUGCAAUUUGGUCCUUUUUUUUGUCACAUGCUGAUAUCCAAAAAAUGAGCAUGACAGAUGGAUGUUUGGAUAUACAACAUAGGACCAUAAGAAAAAUGAACGCAUUGGUAACUUGUUUUAGGAAGAAUCAGACAUUGUAACUUGUACCGGAGAGAUAUGGUUAAUUUAAGAGUUAAUUGUAGCUAUGAGCUUAUAACUCGUUUUACACUCAGAAUGGUAACACAAACAGCAAGAUCAUGUCAAGUUUAGAAAUAUGAAAUACAUACCCUGAUUUAAUAAAGCUUUAUCAGUCCAUAUGAAUGCCCAUACAUUUUGUGAUAGUAUCUUGUUUACACUUUUAUAGUUUCUUUUUGUCACUAGAACACAGUUAGUCCUCCUUACCAUCAUUUAAGUUAAAUGGACUCGGAGAAGCAUUAAAAUACUGUAGUCCUCCUUACAAUUAUGUAAGUCACUUGCAAGAUUUAAGGGAAUAUUUGGCAUCAUGCUUGAAAACAAUGGGAUGCAAAUAACUUGAAAACUAAAAAUAAAAUCGUGAAUCUGGUCACAUUUACACGUGCCUAUAUGAAUUAAGGAAAUGAUAAUAGCAGGUUAAAUGUGUUACUUAUUUAUGCCAUAGACAUACAAAUAGGAAAAUCUAGUAUUUGUACCUCCCAGACAUAAAAACUGCAUCAUAUUGUCCACGGCUUGCUGAAAUUAUACGUUGUUUUAAUCUUUUAAGAGAUGGGAGAACUUCAAAUGCAGGAGGUUCUGCAGAGAACACAUAUGAGAAUGCAUUAAAUGUUCUAUCACCCACAAUUAAGAAAAACAAAAUGUUGGAUUGCAAUAAGAAUGCAUUGUGGCUGUCCAAACUAACACAAAUGUAGUGUCAUCAGUGAUUGAUUCCAACUUUUUCCAUGGUAAGUAUGCCUAUUGAUUUUGAUACUGCUUCCAUUAGAAUCAGGUUGUAUCCUAUUCAACAGAUUAUGAAUUAGCUCAGGCUGAGGGGUCUUUUUGUGUUUAUUAUUUUGAACAAAACUUGCACUUCCCAUUCAGUUUUGGUUAUCUGCCUCAUCUGAGUGCUUCUCAUCUACUUAUAUAUCUAUCUAUUUAUGUUUUUUCAAACAGUCAAACCUGAAGCCACCUGAUUGUCCACACACCUAAAACAGCCCAGUAGGGUUGUUACAGCUCAGAUUGCAUAUUUGAAUAAUGAAAAUGGAGAAAAAAUGAAGGGAAAACCAAGACAAAAAAAGUAAAAGGAGAAAAAGCAAAAUUAACAAAGAUCAGGUAUCCCUAUAAUUUAUUACCCAAAUCAUUGAUACAAACAUCUUGAGAUAUUCCAUUCCUUGAGAUCUUCUCCAGUAAAGUUAAAGGAUCAACCUGACUGGUUUUAUCCAAUCGAAAACGCUUGUAAACUUCAGCAGUUGAACAAGCCUCCUGGGGCUUUAUGAGAACCAUUGGAAGGUCUAGAGGAACUGGUGAAGGAAUAUCUUGAACAAUCUGGACAAAAGAGAGAAAAACCUUAAUUUGGAAACCAAAUAGAGAGUCGUGUGUGUCUAUCUGUUGCUUUGGAAAUGCAGGAUCAAUAAUGUUAAUGGCACUGUAUGCUUCUAAUAUUACUAUGAGAAAUAAGUUUUACGUGAUUCAAAUUGUCUUGUGCAAAAAUGUCAGUACUUGUUCUCGAUGCCUGCAACAUUGACUAGGAUCUGAUGCUCUGAUCAACAAGAACAUGAGUCGGGAGUGAUUCUCUCAAGGAAACAUAUUGCAUCUAAUAGCCCAAAUAUUGUCAUGCUUGAUAGACUGUCCAAUUCACCUAAGCUUUAAUCAUAAAUUGGUUAGGGUUGACAGCAUGAAUCCUUUUACUCCAUUCUACCCUCUUUAUGGCCAUAUUUUCCUCAAUAUGUUGCCAAACUAGGGUCACAGAGACACAGACUCACAAUACAUAUGCAUUAUACAACAGCACUAAUUUCAUUGCAGUGACAACAAAUAGAUAACACAAGUGGGUUUGAAGACCAAAUCAAACCACCCAGAGAGCUCCAGAAAGAGGAUGAUCCAUGAAUCUGAAGGACCAAGGUUACCAUUGUAUUCACUGUGAAACCAUUGCAAAGAGGGGAACUCUAUUUAGCUAUCUCAAGAGACUAAGCAAAAUCUCAGCAGAGUCCAUGAAUAAAUGAUUAUCUUUUCCAAUCUUAGAGUAUGGUUGGAAUGUAGAACAAAAUAGGGAAUUAUAUCUUAGGGCUGCAUCUUAAAGCAAAUUAAAGACUUACUUCACCCCGACCAGUACAAUAUGCUGCUCCAUGAGAAAAAAAGAAGGAUAUAUCUGAACCAAUCUCACUUGACCAUUCUAGCAGUUCAUUCUCUGUGGCAAGACCACCACUGAACUGAUUUGCUGCCCAUAGGGCAGUUGCAGCAUUACUGCUUCCACCUCCAAGCCCUGCCCCGGUAGGCACCUUCUUAUCUAGAUGAAUCCAAAAGAAGUUGUCAGUGCCGGUUUUUUUCCUGUAAAGGUUAAGGGCUUUAAUAAUCAAAUUCCUUUCAUCAAGGGGUACACCAGACACAUUAGUUGAUAAACGGUCCUUGGAUUUUGAAGGAGAUAAAGAGAACUUAAUUGUAUCUCCUAGGCUAAUUACAUGAAAGAGAGAUGCCAAAUCAUGAUAUCCAUCUUCUCUCUUAUCAGUUAUUCUGAGGAAAAUAUUAAUCUUGCAAGGCGAGAACAAAGUGAGCCUUGAAAGAGGAGCAUUCUUGUCUACUUCAUCUGCCCACUUGUUUAACCUUUCAUCGGGAUCAUACACUAUCUCUAGCUGCUUCUUGGAGGCUUUGACAAAUGGGGUCCUUUGUCUUUGGUAAAAGGAGACAGACCCACUUGGCCUAAACGAAGGCAGAUUGCUUUUGGCAAAGGAAUUGCAAGAAGGGUGGAAGACAUGGUUGUUGCAGAGAAAAUGAGCGGAAGCCAUGGCUGCUAGCCCUGCAGUUGCAAUCUCAAGCACAUGGAUUAAUUGGUUUGAAAUAGUAUAGAAGAAGUAUUAGAAUUCCAAUGGCUGCUUAAUUAUUUUAUUUGUUAUCUAUUUAUCUAUCAAUUUUGCAGUCAAUUUUGAACAGCCAGAAAGGUAUCAAAUCUUCAUCAUCCUUAUUUUUCUAC